This is a long non-coding RNA of Esox lucius (northern pike), 19720 nucleotides long. The record is from Ensembl. Lineage: Eukaryota; Metazoa; Chordata; Actinopteri; Esociformes; Esocidae.
CAGAAAUGUGUUCGUAAGACAUAAGUUUGUCUUAUAAGCUUAAGUACCAUGACUUUAUUACACAAGAACAGACAAGCAUUUUAAUGAUAUUGCAAUACAAUAUUGGCAAUCUUCCACAUUCUAACCAAGUGUCAUGAAAUAGAUCUAAGCUUUGUCAGUGGGGAACAAUGCCAUAAACAUGGGCCUGCACUCCAUCCUAGAACACUUGAAAAUGCAGAACCGAAUGUAAUAGCUUAAAAGCAUAGGCUUAACUAACUAUGUUGAGGAAGGGAAUGGGAGUGUUAUCCCUUCCUUCUAGCCACAACCAAAGCCCUGAAGGAUGCAUUUCCUGCACUAACAAUUGUCCAGGCGUCAUUACAUACAUACUGAUAAGUCAUUACACACAUACUGAUACAUCACUGUGAAAUAUGCAUUGCAAACAAUGUAAUCCGGACCCAAAAGCAUUCCAUACUGUUGCAUUUUAGCUCUGCAUUUCAAAGACUAGUAAACAUGACCAUCAUUUGAGUUGGAUUUCCUAACUCCGUGAACAGUUCAGCCGAUGUGGCUGUAUUUUCCCAUUGCCUUGUUUGAUUUACAGGGUUAGGGGUUAGCUGUACUAUACGCAGCUACUGAUGAUUUUACCCAGGAUAUCCUCAACUAACCUUUCUUGUCCUUGGCCAGAUUCAUUACCCAGUCUAGUGGGUGGCAGUCUGUGUCUCUAACCCCUACACUAUUUAACAAUGGGGGAGUCAGUCACUCACUCAGUCAGAGACAUUCACUCUUCAUGGCCGGCACCGCUUACACGUUCCUGCAGAAAUGUGUUCGUAAGACAUAAGUUUGUCUUAUAAGCUUAAGUACCAUGACUUUAUUACACAAGAACAGACAAGCAUUUUAAUGAUAUUGCAAUACAAUAUUGGCAAUCUUCCACAUUCUAACCAAGUGUCAUGAAAUAGAUCUAAGCUUUGUCAGUGGGGAACAAUGCCAUAAACAUGGGCCUGCACUCCAUCCUAGAACACUUGAAAAUGCAGAACCGAAUGUAAUAGCUUAAAAGCAUAGGCUUAACUAACUAUGUUGAGGAAGGGAAUGGGAGUGUUAUCCCUUCCUUCUAGCCACAACCAAAGCCCUGAAGGAUGCAUUUCCUGCACUAACAAUUGUCCAGGCGUCAUUACAUACAUACUGAUAAGUCAUUACACACAUACUGAUACAUCACUGUGAAAUAUGCAAAACAUGUGUCUAAUGGCUACUCGGCAUCAAAACAGUCAUUUCUACCCUGCGGGCUGGCUGAACUGGGCCUGCUUAGUUUUUAUUUCAGGUUUCUUUCAAUGUUUAGAUUCAGUUUUUCCAUUUUCUUUGAGUCUGUCCCCUACAAGCAGGGCCGGCUCCAGGCAUAAGUGACAUAUGCAGUUGCUUAGGGCCCCCGACCACUAGGAUGCCCCCGACUGCUAGGGAGCCCCCGACUGAUUGAGGAGAGGGGGACCCAAAUUAAAUUUUGCUCAGGACCCCCACAAAGAAGCUAGAGCCGGCAAUGCCUACAAGCCUACUGGUACAGUGUUGGGAAUCUAACCCUAGUAGCCCAUCUUCUAACCUCUCUAUACAUUGACCAGGCUAUAUAUGUAUCCCAGCUUUUUUGGUCUUUGCAAGUAGAUAAUUGUAUGCUUGUAACCUGGACACGGCAUGUUAUUCUCUCUGGGGCAGCUGACUGUUUAGACAUAAUGGUGGGUCUGGGGAAUCCAAAAUACUUUGCUAUUGUUCAUGCUCCAAAACAGGUAUACACAGAUAAGCCAGAACCUGACCACCUGCCUAAUAUGCUGUUCGUCCUGCUUGUGCCACCAAAACAGCACCAACCCUCAAAGGCAUGGACUCUACAUUACCACUGAAGUUGUCCUGUGGUACAGUAUCUGGCGCUAAGACAUUAGCAGCAGAUCCUUCAAGUCCUGUAAGUUGUGAGGUGGAGCUGCCGUGGAUUGGACUUGCUGGUCCAGCACAUCCCCCAGAUGUUCAAUUGGAUUGAACUGUCCAUCAUGUUCCUGAAACCAUUCCUGAACAGUGUGUGCAGUUUGGCAGGGUGCAUUAUCCUGCUGAAAGAGGCCACCGCGGCUCUGCAACCCCAUACGCAUCAGGGUGCGAUGCACUGUGUGUUGUGACACAUUCCUCCCAUAACCACCAUUAAUAUGUGACUUGGGCCACGGUUCGGACCAGACGGGAUAGCCUCUGUUGCCCUUGCACAUUGAUGAUUCUUGGGCACCCAAUACCCUGUCGCUGGUUUCUGGCUUGUCCCUCCUCGGACCAGUGUCGGUGGGUACUCACCACUGCAGACCGGGGGAACCACACAAUCCAUGCCAUUUCAGAGAUGCUCUGACGCAGUUGUCUGGCCUUAACAAUUUGGCCCUUGUCAAAGUCGCUCCUCCUGCCUGUUAGUCUUUUCUCCUGCCCGUUUUUCCUGCAUUUAACACGUUGACUACACUGCAAAACAUUUCUUUAAAAAAUAGGAAAACUUAAACUUAACUAUGUCUGAGGAGAUAAAUGACUGAAAUAAUCUGCCAAUGGAACAAAGCAAAUUGAUAUCCAAGGCAUAUUUUCUAAUACCAAGCAAUAUUAUCUAACACAACUUCAGCUUGUUCAAAAACAUUUACCUUAUUUUAAGGAUGGUUAGAUUUUUUUAACCCGACAACAAGAUAAAUAUAUUUCUUAAGACAUUUUUUUUUGCAGUGUACGAGAAUUGAUUGAUCACUUGCCAUCUAAUCUACCAAGACCUUGACAUGUGCCCUUGUUAGGAGAUGAUCAAUGUCAUUUGCUUCACCUGUGAGUGCUCGUAAUGUUUUGGCUCAUCAGCGUAUAACGCUCGCCCUUUCCUUUACACUCAGUGACUGACUAAACAAGUGGGACUAAUGACUCCCUUCUAUAGAGUAGCACUUAUGAAACAGACCGUGCCCCAUAUGUAACAUGUAUGUGUAUUCCACCACUACUCACCCGCCGCAAUAUGUGCUGUGUUUAUAUGCGCUGUGUGAGUGUAUGCAUUCUGUUUAUAGCACCACCACUUAUGAUCUAGAGCUAUGCAGUCUGUGUGUGUGUGUUUGUAUGAACAUCUGUGACAGUACAGUAUAUACCAGAAUAUAGGUGGGGUUGAAUGUUGGGGUUGGGGGGGCAUUCACAUCACUUAAACAUAGAUCUCCAAUAUAACAGACAUGUCUUUCCUAUACAACGUGUCACACUCCCUGCAUGUAUGAGGCUGGAGCCAUCCAUUAUCUCUGCGCAGAAAUGGGCUAAAAUCAUAUUUUCACUGGGCUUGACUGAACUUGCCGUCAUGGAACUAGUGGAAUAAUCACAAGUGUCGACCCCAUCCAUCUAAAGCAGAUUUUAAACACAUUCCUAAACUAUUGUAAAUAUAUCAAAUACUAUUUAAAACCAGGUCUGUACAAAAUAGCAAGCCCCUGCUUUGGAGAGCAGGGCGAUAUGAUGCAUUAACCAGGGUUAGCCUUUGCAGCUGGAGUAUAAAACAGGUGUUAGCUGCCAGUGUGCGUGUGCGUGUGUGUGUGUGCGUUUGUGUGCGUGUGUGUGCGCGUUUGUGUGCGUGUGGGUGGCUGUGCGUAAUUCAGCUCUGUGUGUUCAUGUGGAAAAGAUACUAAAAGAUAGUAAAAACUGAACAAUUACUUACCACAAAGAUUAUUUUUGGCAGGUAUGUGAUUUCUGGCUCAGGGCUUAGGUUUCAGGAAAAACAUGCAAUUGAGCAUAGUGUUAACACUGGGUUUGAUUUGAGGUUUAUGCAUCACUGGUUAUGUUCAAGUGAUAGGGAGCUAUGUUAGGUUUAGUUCAAGGUUAGGAUAAGGGUUCAUUUUAGGACUAGGAACCAUGAAUAUCUGGUCAGGUUUUGGUCUUAGGUCCCCACAAGGAUAGAAAGAAAAAGCUGUGUGUGUGCGUGUGUCUCUUUUUCUGUGUGUACGUUAUACUACAUUGGUCGGGACCAUACACCCCAGCAAGGAUUGCAAAACAAGAAAAAUGCUACCUCAUGUUGAAAGUCCCCCUGAGAACAAAGAAUAUUUUCAGCUUAGGUUAGAAUUGGGGUUAGAGUUAGAAUUAGGGUUUAGUGGUUAGCGAGAAUCUGAUUUUUGAAUUGGAAUAACUGUUGGGUUACCCAUAAGGAUAGUAAAGCCUAAAAUAUGUGUGUGUGUGAGUGUGUGUGUGUAAUGUGGGUCCCAGUGGAGAAGAGUCUAUCGAUGUCAGCUUAAUCAGUCAGCCACAACCUAAGCAAAACGUCAAGUAGACGGAGGGUUCAGGCAAUCUCCCUCACAGUGGCUGGUUACGGGAUUGGAUGUAUGGAAGAGAAAUGGACAUACUCUUGACUUGCUUUUAGCCGUGUGUAUGCACACGCUGACCUAGGCACCUGCUCAGUGUUAGGUUAGGUGUGACCAAGUGUGCAUCCUCUACACAUCACAGUGCACUACUUAAGGCUAUUAGCCUUACAGGGCUCUGGUCAAAAGUAGUGAACUAUAAAGGGAGUAGGAUGCCCUUUGGGAUGUAACCCAUGUGUCAAAAUAUACAGGGGUUGCAGCCUGGCUGUAAGUAGUUGAGCUUUACAGCCUGCUGCAGGCCUAUGCAUGGUUUUUAUUGUGCUUACAUUGGGGAUCUGUAAGACGUGGUGUAGGCUAGCUGAGCGAAUUACACUCUUAGUAAUGUAAUGCUAACGUCAUAUGGUACGCUAACUCACUAUCUCUGCCCCCUCUCCUCUGUUGCUGCCACAAAGAUAGGCUAAUCCAUCCACACUGGUGGCUAUUAUGACAUUCCUGUGUUCAGUGUUGAAUGAAGAGCGACCACAAGAACAUGGGUAAAGGGCAGCGUGGGUCGUGAGAAUGGACUAAUCUUAUCUUAUUGCCUCUCACUUCACUUUUUUAAGAGAAUAAUCUUCUCCACUGCCAUCUCCCCUUUUACGACCAUGACAUGAUAUGCACACCUCUCUUUAUCCCCUAUGUCUCUCUCUCUUCCUUUCACGCUGCCUCUCUUUUCCCAACCAUAGUCUCUUAUCUACUUUCUUUCUUAAAAUCUAUCAUCACUCUCUCUCGUUCCCUCUCUCUCCCAUCCCUCUCAGCUAUAUAGAGUUCCUUUUCCACAGCUCCAUUCAGUGGGUUCCUCCAGUCUAAAGGAUCUGUCUUCUUGGCACAGAUGCCCUGUCUCUGCUCCAAAUCAAGCCCUAUUUCCUUUGCAGUGCACUACAUUUAACUAGAGCCCAUAUGGGUUCUUGACAAAAGUACUGAACUACAUAGGGAAUAGGGUGUCAUUUGGGAUACUAGCCCUGACUGAACUCCGGAGGUGACAUCAUCGCCCAGCACCAUGUGACCUGCUGUGGGCAAACCUUCCCAUGCUGGUUCACACCAGGAUUACAGUUCAACUCUCUCUCUCACCAUCUCUCUUUCUCACACCCUCUCUCCAUCUCCAGAUCUCUUCUAGAGAGACAAGUCCUAGUUCAACCUAAUUUCUUUAUGGUUAUAUUACUGUUCCUGUAAACACAGAGCUAUAAUGUAGACUAUUGAAUAGUUCACCUUUCCGUGUGCACGUGUGUUUGUGUGUGUGUGUGUGUGUGUGUGUGUGUGUGCGUGUGUGUGUACAUGUGGAUCACAUGAGAUUAAGGCCUAUAUUAGAAAGUUUGUCCAGGUGGGGAAAACUCUCCACUAGGGGUGUGGGUUUCAAUGGACUGCCCACUAAGCGGUUAAGGUACAAUUCUGGAGACAAUGGUUUAAGGUCUAAAUCCUCUUAGUGAGGGCUCUGGCUGCAUUCCAUAUCCCCUAUAUAUUGACCAGCUGGUCAAAGGUAGUGCACUAAAUUAGGAAUAGUAUGACACUUGGGAUGCCUCUUGUGUAUGUACCAAGAACUGAGACGAGGCAUUCUGAUCCUGUUUAUUUUCCAGGCGUAAAGCUAGCAGGUUUCAGGAACUGAGAGCUCUGGUCAGAGGGCUGUGCUGUUGGAGGAUAGAGGUGCUCUGGUCAGAGGGCUGUGCUGUGGGAGGAUAGAGGUGCUCUGGUCAGAGGGCUGUGCUGUGGGAGGAUAGAGGUGCUCUGGUCAGAGGGCUGUCCUGUGGGAGGAUAGAGGUGCUCUGGUCAGAGGGCUGUGCUGUGGGAGGAUAGAGGUGCUCUGGUCAGAGGGCUGUGCUGUGGGAGGAUAGAGGUGCUCUGGUCAGAGGGCUGUGCUGUGGGAGGAUAGAGGUGCUCUGGUCAGAGGGCGGUGCUGUGGGAGGAUAGAGGUGCUCUGGUCAGAGGGCUGUGCUGUGGGAGGAUAUAGGUGCUCGGGUCAGAGGGCUGUGCUGUGGGAGGAUAGAGGUGCUCUGCAGCGUGGCAGAGUCAUGGUGUACCAUGUUGAACUGUGACCUUUGCACUAGAGGCGUCCCGGCCUUGUGGUCUCUGUGGCACUUGGUUGGUUGUUAUUUAUGUCAGGACGGGAAUGGGAAACUGAUCCUCUUAACAGGCUGGAAUUGGCCCGUAUUCAGGAAGGUGUCACUGUCACAAUCGUACCUGGGGUUGGGAACCUGCAGAGAGAGAGAGAGAGAGGGAGGCGUGGGGGGCGGGAGAGAGAAAUGCCUGAACUUAAUAUGGCUUUGUUGUUUUGAAAAAUUACAGUACUCUGUGUAUUAUUGAAUUUUAGAGUAGGAGAUGGAUACAAGCAGAUUAGCAGGUAGGGUUUCAGAAUAGGACAAUAAAUUAAGAUACUAUAGCGGACUGCACAGUACAAUGCUUUACUACAGUAUCUAAUGGACUGGAUUGGUUUUUCAGCCCUCAGUGACGGGAACCAUUUAGAUUCAUGUAUGAUAACCAAUCAUAUUUAGUCCCUGGGUGCUGCUGGUUAGUCCUUGUUCUGCUGUAGCAAACUGGACUGACCAAUAAUCAUGGGUCUCCCAAAUGACAAACUAUUCCCUUCAUUAUGUGCUACUUUUGACACCCAGAGAGAACAGGUACAUCCCAACAAACCUCUCUGCUCCAGCCUUGUUCUCUCCACUCCUUCUCUGUCCAUCUCUACAUGCCCACAACUAAACCAGUAUUCUUAACUAAUCCACAGUCAGUUUCAAAAUUGUUGUCUGAAGAUUUUUUGGAACCUCCUCUCCCUCUUGCUCCCUCUCUACUCUCUUGCUUCCAGAUGUUUCUAUAACCACGUGUUAACUAUAAAAAGAGAAGCAGCCAGGCCAAGAUAACACUCAUUCAAUUGAUUUAUCGGAAGCAAAUACUAUCACUCUGUUUUAUUUUAAAGAGGAGUCCUCCAUUUCCCCAAAACCAAUCAAUAACGAAUGGUUCGUUUUAUUGGGCAUGUACAAUGAAUGUGUAAUAAAUCUCAGUUGAAGUUGACACAACAUUGACAAAACGUCUGUAAAAUAGAGAAUGGCUCGUAUUACAAUGUCAUUGUAAUGCAGUACCAGCCUGUAUCCGCACCAUAAAACCCACAUGAAUCCACAUCAGAGACAAUAUGGUUUACUGCAUCUAUACAAGAUGGUGUUCAACCCUGGGAAUUCAGAUACUGUCCAGGGAAACGUAACACACGGUACAUCACCAACUUAUUUUCCUAGAAAGCAAAAGAACAUACGAAGAAGAAAAGAACACACAGCAAAACGUUGUAAAAAAACUGUAAAAAUAAAACCCACAAAUAGAGAGUGGUUUAGAGCUAAAGUAACGAAAGGAAGGAAGGCUUGGACGCAUUCGCGACUUCCUGUUUGACGUCCCGCACUGCAACCCCAGGGCUGCUCGGUGCCGUCGUUGUGGCGCAGCACCUCGUGAGGAGGGAGUGCUAGAGUGCACCGCCCUCUAUGAAAUCUUAUAUCACCCCUGAAAAUACCCCUCUGGUAUCCCUGCGGCGGGGUUCAACUCCCGCAGUAAUGUGUCCAUGGUCUUCUAACUUAGGUCCAUACCAACUAACCCAUGUAGAACCCAAGUUACCAGACCAUCAGAGAGAAAUGUGGUCCCAGCACCAUGCGGCUAGACCAAGAGUUAAAUCUGUCUCUGCUGUGGCUGGGACCAGAACAGACCCCUGUAGUGCUACUUAUUAGGUUGACGUGAUGUGGAGUCACUAAGUCACUGAGUCAGAGCUGGAUCGGGCCGGGUCCCUGACAUGAUUGACGGUGUCUGUCUGUUCUGUCAGCACCCCCGCUGAGUUAGGGAGCUGCACAUGAUUUUCCUCAAAACCGAUUUCCCUCAAAACCAAACAGCUGGCAGCAGAUGCGAAUGGCUUGUGUGGGAGGAUUAUUUACGUGUUUCCCCAUAAAGCGAGGUCAGCGGCGGAUGCCAGAAUCACAUCUCAGUUAUUACCAUGGUGGGUUGGUCACCACGAGCCAAGAAAGCCAUGACUUGCGAUAAACACAAAAGUAAUUACAAUUUAAGGAGGCCUCUGUGUUGUUCCAAGCAACAAACGCACGAUACAGGCGGUGUGAAACGACAGCAUUUGGGUUCCACGUCAAUCUGUGUGUCUCCAGAGUUCAAUGUGUAUAUGCACCUGCAUGUGUCUUUGCAUAGCGUGUGUGCAUCCGGAGGAGUUUGGGUCGUAACUGUCCUCCUCACCUUGUCCGCGUUUAUGUUCUAUGGAAAACUUUCAGGUUGCAUCCCAAACGGCAGCCUAUUCCCUCUUGAAGACGUGAAGAGACUCUCUCUCAGUGCUUUCAUGACAUAGCAAAAUACACUUCUGGGUCAAAGAGUUCAAAGCUGAGAGCAAGCCAACUAACCCUGUCGCAAUGCCAAACAUCACAGGCUGUAAAACUGGAUAAAGGAUCUCCUUUCAUCUGAGCCGCAUUGGGCUUUCUUUACACGUAUAAAAAAAAAUAUCUCAGUUUACUAUAGUAUUCUGUAGUAAACUAUAAUUGCUAAAACAGCUGGUCAAACUAGCAAAAUGUGACAGAAUAUCACCAUUUGCGUCACAACGAAAUUUCAUUAACAUUUAUGUUCAUCACUCACCAUGUUAGGCCGUCAGAUGCUCCCCAAAAUAUGUCUUUGCAAAAACAAAUCAAUGAUAGUUAACUUGCUAACUCUUUCAUCAUUGGAACUGCAUUCACAGUAUCCAAUUUUGGUUUUUGUGUGGUAGUUGGUCAACAUUUCUGUAUAUUUGCACCAAGUAGAUUCUGUGCAUGAAAAUGUCCAAUAACUGUUCUAGCUAAUUGGAAAAUGAACUGCCAUUUUAGAAUACACUUUGGACGAAUUAAUGAAAGCUCCUCCACAAUUCUGUGGUACAACACAUCAUGGUAUUGUUCAAUCGUGUGAUGUACUUAAAUUACAGAAUUGUGCAGAAUACUUUAUAAUAUUAUAUUACACACUGCAGUAUCCCUUCAUCAUGUAGUGCUAGAACAUAGUAGUAUAUUGGAGAAUACUAUACUACAAACUGUGUUGAGGUAUAGGAUUUCCUGUGCAUUUGUCUCACCCCUCCUCCCCCAGUCUUUAUGACUAGACACUGUAAAGAGGGGUAGAAAGUUGCAACCAGGCUGGUAGCAAGGGGGAGCAAAACAGUUGAAAUUUCAGUGCAUUCAGUUUUACGUCCCAGUAUAAAAACAGAGAAGUUCAAAUCAUUUUUGGUGUAAAAUAUGUCAGCACAAUGGAAGAAGCCUUUGGAUUUGCGUAGUAUGGCAAAACAAAUGCUGCAUCUUUAACCAUAGUCUGUAAUAUUAGAUUUUUUAGGGCAGAAUCUAGUGAUGAAGCUGCUUCACUAAACUCAGUCUUACGUGCCUCCACAAAAGAGGUUACAUCCUAGCUUUCACUGUUAAACAUUAAUAAUAGUCAUCGGCCAUAGCCAAUUAUCCCGAACCAGCUAAUUUCUCACCACAAAAAUAGAUAUCAGAAAUUGGCAUUGCCGAAGUACCUUCAGUAUACAAAGGAGUAGGUGGGCAAGCAGUUGCAGCAGCGUUUAAACCGCUGAGGCAGAGCCCCGCCACAGCGAUAAGGCUGCCUUGUUCCAGCUAGCUCCGUAUGGAUUCUAUCUCCUGUUCCACAAGCGCAGCCAGGAGAAUGGCUCCACAGCUCCCCCAACCUCAGACUGUUCCCGGUGAUCUUAAAACAGAGGCACUAGCCUAAGUUAGCCUAGAUUUCUAUCUCAUAGCAGUCGGUUCAAAGCGCUUCUAUUGCUUCAUUGAUCACAUGAGAGUCAGAUCCACAGAUAUAUAUGGUUCCGUAUCAUAAUGUUGCUGAAUCUUCUGAGGGUCUGAUCUUCCACAUUUGAAGCAGGACUAUGGAUUGAAAUAGCAUGAUUCAUAAUCCCUGAAAAACCUUUCGGCACAACUGGAAGAGCAUCUCUUUGCAUGGUUGCACCCGUCAAUACUUCCAUGGGGGACAUGUAGAGUGGAAUUUCAAUACCUUCGGUUCAGUGUAGGCUUACCCCACCUCAGUGUUUUGAUGGCUAUGGAAAUACCUAUAGGACAAGUGGACUUCCAUCAAUGUUUGCUUAAUAUUAGCAGAGCUGUUCUGCCUGAAUGAAACACAGACUAUAUUUGAAGCCAUUCCAAAAUCAAUAUCACAUUUUAGAGUUUUUGGGGGAUGAUAAGGCAUUCAUUAUUAAGGUGAUAAGCCUGGUAUUUGGUAAGACUGUUGUCCAUGGCUGCAUCUCACUUCUUCAGGCCAUUACAUAGUGGUUAUUUGGAUGUUACUGUUUCGUUUGUUUAGUGUUAACCUAGCCUUUAGUCUCCUUUUGCAUAUUUGUGGCCUUUUUGUCUGCUUGAAUGAGUCUGGUCAUUCUCCUCUGACCUCUCUCACUAACAACUGCCCACACAACUGCAGCUAUUUGGAUGUUUGUUGUUUAUCACCCAAUUUUCUUUAAAGUAAAGCAAUUGCAGUGAGUGAAAAUCCCAGGAGGUCAGCCAUUUGUAAGAUGCUUGAACAACUACGUCUGGCACCAACAAUCACACAACGGUCAAAGACGCUUAGAUUCCUUUCCAAAAAAGUUCUCUUAAUUUUAACCCUUCUUUUCCACACUGAAAACCUACCUUUUCGACUUUUUUGGAAAGGAAAGAAAAAGAUGCUGUGGUCUCUUAAUUUUUUGUAUGUUGAGUUGCAGCCCCAUGAUUUGCUGUUUGGCUAUUGGUGUUAACACACAAUAGUACAUAAUAAAGUGACUGGUGAGACUAGCUGUGGUAUAAUUGUACUGUUCUGUUUUGUUAUUUUCUAAAUUAUUCUUCAGCAUCUAAACUGCUAUUCAGAAUUUCUGUCUGUGUGAAUUUACCCCACUUUCAGUGUUUUGUUCAAUUGUUCUGGUAAGCCAACUCUGCCUAUAGCUGCAUUAACAUUGUUUGAAAUUAGUAAAUGACUCUUUGUUUGCUGUCCUUGGUGUGUUGUUAUGAUGGGGCUACACAUUUCAGGACACAUUUUCACCUCAAAUGUAUUCAGUGGUCUCAGCAUUUGAACUUCAGUAGAGUGACAAUAAGCAGAAUUCAAUGCAAUUCCAAUGCUAGAACUGAAAAUAAUGUGACCCCAUGCUGAUUUGAACUGCCCUCUCCGUUCAUCCAGCAGCCAUGCCUGGUUGCAGCCCUGAACUGACACUUACAAGUCUCAAGUUUCUUUCUCACAAAACAGCAGAAGAGCUGAACUUUUAACCCUUCAGUCCAUACAGUAGUCCUGUUUUCUAACAGGUUUUGGAACACAUGUUCUUUUAGGAUUGCUUUUCCAGACUCAGAUUAAAAAUAACCCCUACUGAGAUUUUCCACUGAGCCUGAUCUUUUGACAGGGCUAGACUGAAUCUGAAGUCAGGUGUCUGCGUUGCCUUCAGAACAACCUGAAUGUUUUGUUUUCUGGAUUCUACAAGGUUGGGAAAUGCUCCACAGGGAUGCUGAUACACAUCACUGACAUGACCGUGUUACACCGUUGCUGGAAGUUGGACGUCAGAAUAUUCAUAAAAGCUCUAUUUGCUUUAAGUCUGGUGACUGCGCAGGCUAUUGAAGUUAACUGAACUUGUUGUCAUGUUCCUGAAACCUUCUGAAGCAACACAAACAUUGUGACAUGUGCCACAUAUUCUCAAUGUAUCCACGUGGCACUGGGUAAACUGUGGCCAUGAAGGGUUUCACCAAGUCAGACAAACCGGCACUAAAAUGUUGCUCAAUUUGUAUCAAGGGACCUACAAUAUGCCAAGAAAACAUUCCCCACACAUUACACCAUCACCAGUACCGAUGACACCAGGCAAAAUGGAUCCGUGGUCUCAUGCUGCUAACGCCAAAUCCUGAAUCACCAACAGGAACUGGGAUUCAUCAAACCAAAGCAAUGCUUUUCCAAUCCUCAACUUUCAAGUGUAUGCGAUCACCUCCCUACUACAUCUGCUUCUUCUGCUGUUAGCCGAUAGGAGUGGACCUGGUGUGGUUGUCUGUUGCAGUAGCCCAUCAGCACCAAAGAACAUUCACGUCCUGGCAUGGCAGGUUGCCAGCUACUAGUGAGAUGCAAUGCCCUCUCUUCCUCACUUGGAUCAUGGACACCACUUUUGCUGUUUAUUGCCCUAACCUAUUUCCCUAAUUGCUGUCCCUAUUUAAGUUUCUCUUUUCCUAGUGUGUCUUGUCGGUCUUUGUUUUGGUUUCAUCCAUUUGUAAUGUUGUUCUUCCUCUGGGAUUUUGUAUUUGUUUGGUACAUUUGCGUUACUUUAUUAAAGGUCUUCCGUUCUCCCGGCACGUGUCCUGCUUCAUCGUUCAACGUUGCAGGCCCAGUGAGUUAAGGUUAGUUUCAGCUAUGUCAUUCAUCUGCGCAUCACUGUUUACCUGUGCAGUUAUUAUUAAUAUUACUGAGCCUGUUUGUGGCCACAAUCCACGCCAUUCUCUUUCGACCUCUGCAACACUAAUAGCACACAUGCUUGAGCUAGCUAGCAUAACUGGAUAUGUUUUGAAGGAGAGGGGUUUUGCGUCUGUAUAGGUAAAAGUUCGAUCUUAUUCCAGUUAGUUCUGUAUCCAGACAUGGUACCAAACAAAUUAAUCAAGUAGAACAGGAAUAUUAGAGUGGGGUUUAGGUACAUAAAGGUUAUUGUUAUAUACUUAAAGAGACGUUUAGUGUUUUUAGUAUUUUAGCCAUGUGUUGCUACAUGAGAUCUUAUGGCUUGAGCUAGCAGCAUGAUGGCCAGAGAUAGACAAAGAGGUGAAAGUGUAAAACUCUGCCUCAUCCAUCAAUGGAGUUUAAAUUGCUGUGACAGUGAUUGAUUGAUAGAUUGGUGAGUAUUUGAGUGCAAUAAUUAUGGUAUAGAAGUUGGAUCCAUAUUAUAAAUCUGCCUGCAAUCUUACAUCAUUGUAGGACAACAAAUAAGCAUUUAUUCAUGCUAGGGCGGACAUGUGCGAAUCUCUUAAAAGCAUAAACCCUCGCAAGGCUCCUGUUCUGGACAAUAUCCCUGGCCUCAAGGUACGUGCUGACCAACUGGCUGAUAGUCCCCAAGUUUCAAGGAGACCACCACUGUCCCUGUCCCCCAAGAAAAGUACUCUGCCCAAACAUCUCCUGCCCUAGAGCACUAACAUCCCUAGUCAUGACGCGCUUCAGCGGUAAGUCUAAGGACAUAUCACCACCUCCCUACCCUCAUCUUUAGAUCCACUACAAUUUUCUUGGAGACCAAACUUGCCCUCCACUCUGCCGCCUCUCAUCUGGACCGAAGGAAUACAUAUGUGAGAAUGCUGUUUGUUGGUCGUAGUUCAGCAUUCAACUCAAUUGUGCCCCACAAGCUCGUGGUGAAGCUCAGGGAUCUGGGCCUCCACACCGGCCAGUGUCCGCGGACCUCAGGUCGUUCGGAUGGGCAGCUCCACCUAAUCCACACUGACUCUCAGCAUGGGCGUCCCACAAGGCUGUGUGCUCAGUCCCCUCCGGUACUCCCUGUUCAAGCAUGACUCCGGGCCCCCGCACUCCUCUGACAUCACUGAGAAGUUCGCAGACGACACCACUGUCAUUGGCCUGAUCUCCGAUACUGAUGAGACUGCCUAAAGAGAGGCAAUCAGAAUCUUGUCAUCAUUGUGUCAGGAUGACGACCUCCAGCUUAACGUCAGCAGAACGAAGGAGCUGAUUGUGGACUACAGGACAGGAGGAAACGGGGGAAGCCAUGCCCCUAUCCACAUCAAUAGGCCUGCAGAGGAGAGAGUCUGCAGCAUCAGGGUCCUCCGGGUCAGAGUCAGCGACAUUCUGUCCUGGUCUCUCUAUUCCAACAUCGUUAUCAAGGAGGCAAGGAAACGUCUCUUCUUCCUAAGCCGACUAAAGAGGUGGACUCCACGAGGAGUGGACUCCAGGAUACUCACCAACAUCUACAGGUGCAUCACUGAGAGUAUCCUGACGGGCUGUAUCUCCACCUCCACAGUAUCCUGACUGGCUGUAUCACCGCCUCCACAGUAUCCUGACAGGCUGUAUCACCGCCUCCACAGUAUCCUGACUGGCUGUAUCACUGCCUACACAGUAUCCUGACUGGCUGUAUCACAGCCUCGUAUGGCAGCUGCACUGUCCUUGACCAAAUGGCUCCAUAGAGGGUGGUCAAGAUGAUUCACCUGGAGGGACCGGCCAUCUCUGCAGGACUUGUAUAGGUAUACACACAGGUGCAGGAAGAAGGCCCUACGCUUCAUCAGGGACCCAUGUCAUCAGGGACCCAUGUCAUCAGGGACCCAUGUCAUCAGGGACGGAUGUCAUUAGGGACCCAUGUCAUCAGAGACCCAUGUCAUCAGGGACGGAUGUCAUUAGAGACCCAUGUCAUCAGGGACCCAUGUCAUCAUGGACCCAUGUCAUUAGUGACCCAUGUCAUUAGGGACUCAUGUCAUCAGGGACCCAUGUCAUUAGGGACACAUGUCAUCAGGGACCCAUGUCAUUAGGGACCCAUGUCAUCAGGGACCCAUGUCAUCAGGGACCCAUGUCACCCCAACAUGAACUUUCUCCCUGUUUUGCUCUGGCAGGAGAUACAGGACCAUCCUGUCCACAACCAACAGGUCCCAGGAAAGCUUCUUCCCCCAGGCCUUAAGACUGUUGAAUCUUUGAACACAUUUAAUAAUGUACUAUUGCAAUAGAGGAAAUAACAUUACCAGAUGAAUGCUGGAACCUACCUAACGCUGCUUAGAAGAGUGACACAAUGAACACUUAUCAAUUUUAUUAUGUACUAAAUUUCUUCUUCUAUAUUGUUCUUAUUCUAUUUUUUAUUCUAUUAUAUUACUUAUGCCAGAAAUGUUGAGGGUGUUUUUGGAAAACAAGCAUUUCAUUAACAACAAUGCUGUUGCUAUUGUGUAGUGACAAAUAUACUUGAAUUUAUACACUCUGUGUAGACUACAUUUAGGUUAUCAAUUAUAAGAUCUGUAGCAGCAUUUCUCUUUCCUGGGGGCACCAAAGGCUUGCUUAGUAGUUUGCAUUUCACUGAUAUUCUGUUGAUGCUAAUUUGAUAUAAAAUCCUUUAGGUACCGUAUUUCUCUUGUGUUCUGGCUCUGCCUAUUUGGCCUUGCAUUAGGGAGGGAAUGAGUAAGUAAGGGAGUGAGUGAGGGAAUGAAUGAAUGAGUAAGUGCAUAUGUGACUGCAUAAUUGGAUAAGUAAGUUAAUUAGUAAGUGAUUGAGUAAGUGAAUAAAUUAGCAGGUGAGUGAGUAAAUGAAUGAGUUAAAGGUUGUUGGAAAUAUAAAAAUUGGUGUAAGCAUUGCGAUGAUGUCUCAUGCAGCUUGACAUUAAGUUUUUUCAGUUUAUUGAAAAAAUACAUUCCCUUUUUCUACCUUCAGGCAAUGCUCAAACCCUACAUACAUUUUCUAGCUUUUAGUUCCCAUUUGGUCUUUUGGCUGAACCACCCAACAGGGGGUCAGAUCUGCCAUUCAAUAGCCCUUUGCAGCCCAGAAGUGUAGCUGUCCCCAUACAGUGCCUUGUUGCAACUUACACAAUAAAUGUAUGUUGCUAAUACUAAACAUUGAUUUACUCUAAUCUUUUUUCUGUUCAUUACAUGGAAUGUUAAACGAGGACGUGUAACUGCAUUCUAGCAAUCUUUGUAAUAAAGCAAAUUCAUCGUGGUCAAUAUUUGUUUUUUAAAAGGAAAUUAUUUACAAUUAACUCAGAACUUUCACUUUUACUUUGUUACACAAACAGUUUUCACUUUGCCUUGAGUAAAUUGUCAUUAAAUUAAUAGUAUUUCCAUACUCUUUCCAUUUCUGGAAGUAUGUGGGUCUGUCCAAAAUAGGGCACUGCUUAUCCCUGGAGUUAAAUGGUGCCCUUUCAGGCUCUAUUCAAAAGUAAUGCACUCUGUUGAAAGGAACAAGGUGCCAAUUCUAUGUGCUGACAGGAGGACGAUGUACAAAAUCAAACACUCUGAGUUGAAAGUAAGAAGGAAACUAGAUACAUCUCCAUUGGCAGCAUUACUCUCCACAAACCUCAAAUGAUAAAUGUGUUAUGCAUGUGUCAUUGAGGGCGUAGUGACCUGAGGAACAGUGGAGCAGAGGAAGAGACAGGGAUAAGAAACACUGUGACUAUGUCUUAAAUGGCACCCUAUUUCCUAGGUAAUGCGCUAAUUAAGAGUUGGAGCUAACUGUACCAGUCAAAAGUUUAGACACACCACUCUAAUGAGGGGUAACUAUGUCGAAACGUUUGACUAGUACUGGAUAUGGUCCCUGGUCAAAUGCUGUUCACUAUACAUGGAAUAGGGUACCAUUUGGGAAACAUCCUUAACCCUGUAUUUUGUUUUAUUAUGUUUCCAAUUAUUGAUACGAUCAGAGCCAGAGAUAGAAUACUGCUGCUUCGUGAGAAUGGUCUACAGAGGAAUGCUGAGAAUGACAUUAAUUAUUUAUUUAAAAUGUUGAUGACAGGAUUAAACGCCUUCAGAUGAGAAACAGAGAGAGAUAGAAAUCUAGUUUUCUAGGAAUUCAUGCCAGCAGGGCUGAUGGAGAGACAGAGAGACAGAGAGACUGAGACGGAGACUUAGAAACUGAGAUAGAGACAGAUACAUGUGAACUGAGAAAGACGAAGAAAGACAGAGACAGAGAGAUACUGAAACAGAUGGAGAGGAGUGAAACUGACCAACAAAGACACUGACAGAAACUGACCAAGACAAAAGGACUGACAGAGACUGAAAAAGACAGAGAGACUGACAGAGACUGAACAAGACAUAGAGACUGACAGAGACUGACCAAGACAAAGAUGCCAGUAUAUAGGGAAUAGGGUGUUACAAUGUAGGGAGUAGGUUGUCACUAUAUAGGGUGUUACAAUGUAGGGAGUAGGUUGUCACUAUAUAGGGAGUUACAAUAUAGGGAGUAGGUUGUCACUAUAUAGGGAGUUACAAUGUAGGGAGUAGGUUGUCACUAUAUAGGGAGUAGGGUGUCAGUAUAUAGGGGGUAGCAUGCCAGUAAAUAGGGAGUAGGGUGUCAGUAUAUAGGGAGUAGGGUAUUAGUAUAUAGGUAGUAGGGUGCCACUGUAUAGGGAGUAACAUGCCAGUAAAUAGGGCGUAGGGUGUCACUAUAUAGGGCGUAGGGUGUCACUAUAUAGGGAGUAGGGUGUUAUUAUAUAGGGAGUAGGGUGUCACUAUAUAGGGCGUAGGGUGUCACUAUAUAGGGAGUAGGGUGUUACUAUAUAGGGCGUAGGGUGUCACUAUAUAGGGAGUAGGGUGUCACUAUAUAGGGUGUAGGGUGUCACUAUAUAGGGAGUAGGGUGUUACUAUAUAGGGAGUAGGGUGUUACUAUAUAGGGAGUAGGGUGUCACUGUAUAGGGCGUAGGGUGUCACUAUAUAGGGAGUAGGGUGUCACUAUAUAGGGCGUAGGGUGUCACUAUAUAGGGAGUAGGGUGUCACUAUAUAGGGAGUAGGGUGUUACUAUAUAGGGAGUAGGGUGUCACUAUAUAGGGAGUAGGGUGUCACUAUAUAGGGAGUAGGGUGUUACUAUAUAGGGCGUAGGGUGUCACUAUAUAGGGAGUAGGGUGUCACUGUAUAGGGCGUAGGGUGUCACUAUAUAGGGAGUAGGGUGUCACUAUAUAGGGAGUAGGGUGUCACUGUAUAGGGCGUAGGGUGUCACUAUAUAAGGAGGAGGGUGUCACUAUAUAAGGAGUAGGGUGUCACUGUAUAGGGCGUAGGGUGUCACUAUAUAAGGAGGAGGGUGCUACUAUAUAGGUAGUAGGGUGCUACUAUAUAGGUAGUAGGGUGCUACUAUAUAGGUAGUAGGGUGCUACUAUAUAGGUAGUAGGGUGCUACUAUAUAGGGUGCCAUUAUAUAGGGUGCCAGACUAGUAAUCCCAAGAGAAGCUAGACCAGGCAGCAUCUAAUCUAGAGACUGUAUAUGUAUCCACAGCUGCACAGACACUAACAAACAGGACACCCACCCAUGCAGUGUCUAGGAUAAGAACCCUUGGCACCUACAUGACAACGAGCUGGACCAUAUCACGUCACACAAAACAUUAAACACACCAGCCAACAGCAACAGCAACAUUUCUAAACUAGAGACUACCAUGGACACACUCUGCUAUGCCUUAGCACUAUGCACUAUAGACAGACAGACCGAUUGAACGUAAGGUUUACCUCUGUCUGAAAAUGUCAUGCACGCAAAAAAAAACUCAGACGAAAAGAAAACGAGAAGAAUAUGCCAAGUAAUAAGAAAACUAAUCUUAGCAGCAGACAUUUUCUUGCUAUUCUGGGGGUGUUUCCUUACGCUGUGCUUGUUUUUCAUAAUGCAGUUUCAACACUUUUUCUGCUUCUCUGGUGGAAAUCACACAAUGGUCAAUACUGAUUGCUUUAUUUUUUCAGUGUUGUACCCCCUCUCGCGUUUGUUAUUGCAGAACAGGAGGGUAUGCAGGACCUGGGAUGGGGGGUUCGGACUGUGGGUGCUGCUGAAACGGCACAAUCUCUCCAUUUCUGUCUAAUAAUGUGAAAACAUGUUAAGGGUUUGUGUGUGUCUGCGUGUGUGUGUUUGUGUGUGUACCAGCUCACCAGACCUGUCCCAGGUAUGUGGACGGUGAGUGGACCCCCAGUACAGAUUCAGACACACAGGUAUGCUGCGCUGUCUGCCACUUCCUGUGGUGUAUCUGUGCAUUGGUGUGUGAUGACGUGCUGAGAGGGCUGGCGGCAUAGACACGGAACACUGGAGAUACCUUCUGUGUUCCAGAACUCAGCAGGAUCCACAACCCAGUAAAACAAUACCUCUGUGGCCUAGCCACUCAAGGCUCUCUCUCUCUCUCUCUCUCUCAUUUUCUUUAUCUUACACGCACGCACGCACACACACACACACACACAGACACACACGCGCACAUCCACACAUAUAUAAACAAAUAACUGUGUUUAAGUGCGUUGAGGAAUGAAUCCACCUACACACCUGCCCAAAAGAAUGUAGGCUUGGGCAGUGUCUUUCCAGUGUGGGGGGCACCUCCCAUGGAGCACUGUGCCGCGGAGCCAUGGGGAAGUGGCUAUUCCUGUGGUGUAGGGGUUAGGGUUCUGUCCCAAAGAGCACCCUAUUCUUAUUAUAGGGCCCUUUUUUGGCCAGAGGGUGUUGGGCAGGGUUAAGGGUAUAAUGUAUACAAGGUUGCUAUUUAGGAGGUACCAGGGAUAUGGAGUAAAGGAGCCGUUGGUUAAACUGGCCAUCAGGAAAACCACUGGCACAGCACUCUGAGCCAAAUGGAACUAAUUCUGACCAUAUCGUGCUGCAUAUGGGAAAACCUCUAAGCCCUAGUGUUCCAGCCCGGAUUAAGCAUGGUCCUGGACUUCAAAAGCACUUUCAAUGGAGAAUCUUAAUUUAGCAUACUUAUAAACCCAGGACUGAAGCUAUAUGAAUGGUAUUGAAACUGGUCAUAUGUGGCUCCUAAAAUUCAGAUAUAAAGAUAAUUUUUAAUACAUCAAAUAUAAUAAGAAUAUGGGACAGGUCUACCUG